AUACAGGUAAUAACUAAUCCCUUCAGACAGGAAGACAGACAGAUAGAUCCAGACAGCAGACAUGAAGGAUGUUUCAUCAUCAUAUACAGGUAAUAACUAAUCCCUUCAGACAGGAAGACAGACAGAUAGAUCCAGACAGCAGACAUGAAGGAUGUUUCAUCAUCAUAUACAGGUAAUAACUAAUCCCUUCAGACAGGAAGACAGACAGAUAGAUCCAGACAGCAGACAUGAAGGAUGUUUCAUCAUCAUAUACAGGUAAUAACUAAUCCCUUCAGACAGGAAGACAGACAGAUAGAUCCAGACAGCAGACAUGAAGGAUGUUUCAUCAUCAUAUACAGGUAAUAACUAAUCCCUUCAGACAGGAAGACAGACAGAUAGAUCCAGACAGCAGACAUGAAGGAUGUUUCAUCAGGGGGAAAUUAGG
This is a long non-coding RNA of Oncorhynchus keta (chum salmon), 424 nucleotides long. RefSeq lists it as uncharacterized. Lineage: Eukaryota; Metazoa; Chordata; Actinopteri; Salmoniformes; Salmonidae. The transcript has 4 exons. The record is from RefSeq and is a predicted model, not a curated record.